ACCAUUAUAGUUUAACGGUAGAAUGGGCGCUUCCCACUGAUUCGUCUGCGCUCGGCAAGGGUUCGACUCCCUUUGAUGGUA
Non-coding RNA from Naganishia friedmannii, 81 nucleotides. The record is from the annotation of a GenBank genome assembly. NCBI's taxonomy places the organism in Eukaryota, Fungi, Basidiomycota, Tremellomycetes, Filobasidiales, Filobasidiaceae.